Neoarius graeffei (lesser salmon catfish) is the source of this 441-nucleotide non-coding RNA. RefSeq annotates it as small Cajal body-specific RNA 2. NCBI's taxonomy places the organism in Eukaryota, Metazoa, Chordata, Actinopteri, Siluriformes, Ariidae. The transcript has a single exon. The record is from RefSeq and is a predicted model, not a curated record.
CCACACUGGCCACACAGUGGCGCUGAUCAUCUUUUGUUUUGUUAGUUCAGCCGAGUGCUAUAAAAGGCCACUAACCCGGAAACAGACUCCCAUUGUGUGAGUGUUGUCGGGUGAGUGUGUUGUGUUUGAAUGACCUGAGUGUUUGUGUUGUUUGAAUGAAUGUGUUUGUAUGUCUUUAAAAAUCUACACCGUGAUCUUAUUUGAUCUGAUCCGUGGUGUUGCCCUGCCCGGAUUCAGAAAUGAUAAGAAAAGACUCGUUAGCCCGCUGUGGCGAUGAGCGUUUGGGCUUUUUCUAGCCGGAUAGCAGUUUCAGGGCACCGCAAUGGAGAUUGUGGUUAGAAAUGAUGACUCGAUCAGAUAUACUAGUACCGGUGGGAUUCUGGAGGUUUUCCUCCAGCGUUUCCUGUCUGGUCUAUGAGUAUAGAAGCGAUUCUGAUCUUC